AACGAACGCUGGCGGCAGGCCUAACACAUGCAAGUCGAGCGAGGACUUCGGUUCUAGCGGCGGACGGGUGAGUAACGCGUGGGAAUGUGCCCUUCUCUACGGAAUAGCCCUGGGAAACUGGGAGUAAUACCGUAUACGCCCUUUUGGGGAAAGAUUUAUCGGAGAAGGAUCAGCCCGCGUUGGAUUAGGUAGUUGGUGGGGUAAUGGCCUACCAAGCCGACGAUCCAUAGCUGGUUUGAGAGGAUGAUCAGCCACACUGGGACUGAGACACGGCCCAGACUCCUACGGGAGGCAGCAGUGGGGAAUCUUAGACAAUGGGGGCAACCCUGAUCUAGCCAUGCCGCGUGAGUGAUGAAGGCCUUAGGGUUGUAAAGCUUUUCAGCUGGGAAGAUAAUGACGGUACCAGCAGAAGAAGCCCCGGCUAACUCCGUG
This 432-nucleotide ribosomal RNA is filed under the name uncultured bacterium. RNAcentral's name for it is "partial 16S ribosomal RNA". It matches the Rfam family "Bacterial small subunit ribosomal RNA", at positions 29 to 507 of the family's 1533-position model. The record is from RNAcentral.